GAUCCUGGCUCAGGAUGAACGCUAGCUACAGGCUUAACACAUGCAAGUCGGAGGGGCAGCAUGAACUUAGCUUGCUAAGUUUGAUGGCGACCGGCGCACGGGUGAGUAACACGUAUCCAACCUGCCGAUGACUCGGGGAUAGCCUUUCGAAAGGAAGAUUAAUACCCGAUGGCAUAGUUCUUCCGCAUGGUAGAACUNUUAAAGAACUUGGUCAUCGAUGGGGAUGCGUUCCAUUAGG
This 238-nucleotide ribosomal RNA is filed under the name uncultured bacterium. Its description in RNAcentral is "partial 16S ribosomal RNA". It matches the Rfam family "Bacterial small subunit ribosomal RNA", at positions 15 to 245 of the family's 1533-position model. The record is from RNAcentral.